Molecule: transfer RNA, 68 nt
Filed under: Bathytroctes michaelsarsi (Michael Sars smooth-head)
Lineage: Eukaryota; Metazoa; Chordata; Actinopteri; Alepocephaliformes; Alepocephalidae
Description: tRNA-Trp
Rfam family: tRNA
About the family: Transfer RNA (tRNA) molecules are approximately 80 nucleotides in length. Their secondary structure includes four short double-helical elements and three loops (D, anti-codon, and T loops). Further hydrogen bonds mediate the characteristic L-shaped molecular structure. tRNAs have two regions of fundamental functional importance: the anti-codon, which is responsible for specific mRNA codon recognition, and the 3' end, to which the tRNAs corresponding amino acid is attached (by aminoacyl-tRNA synthetases). tRNAs cope with the degeneracy of the genetic code in two manners: having more than one tRNA (with a specific anti-codon) for a particular amino acid; and 'wobble' base-pairing, i.e. permitting non-standard base-pairing at the 3rd anti-codon position.
Source: RNAcentral
GGGGCUUAGGAUAACUAAGACCAAGGACCUUCAAAGCCCUAAGCAGGAGUUAAAAUCUCCUAGCCCCU